This 460-nucleotide ribosomal RNA is filed under the name uncultured bacterium. RNAcentral describes it as "partial 16S ribosomal RNA". It matches the Rfam family "Bacterial small subunit ribosomal RNA", at positions 338 to 795 of the family's 1533-position model. The record is from RNAcentral.
CCUACGGUGUGCAGCAGUGAGGAAUAUUGGUCAAUGUGCGGAAGCCUGAACCAGCCAAGUCGCGUGAGGGAAUAAGGCCCUACGGGUCGUAAACCUCUUUUGCCGGGGAGCAAGGGCCGGGACGCGUCCCGGCCCGGAGAGUACCCGGAGCAAAAGCAUCGGCUAACUCCGUGCCAGCAGCCGCGGUAAUACGGAGGCUGCGAGCGGUAUCCGGAUUUAUUGGGUUUAAGGGGUGCGUAGGCGGGCAUUUAAGUCAGCGGUAAAAAGUCGGGGCUCAACCCCGUCCGGCCGUUGAAACUGGGGGCCUUGAGUGGGCGGGAAGAAGGCGGAAUGCGUGGUGUAGCGGUGAAAUGCAUAGAUAUCACGCAGAACCCCGAGUGCGAAGGCAGCCUUCCGGCGCCCUACUGACGCUGAGGCACGAAAGUGCGGGGAUCGAACAGGAUUAGAUACCCGGGUAGUC